Molecule: ribosomal RNA, 253 nt
Filed under: uncultured bacterium
Lineage: Bacteria
Description: partial 16S ribosomal RNA
Rfam family: Bacterial small subunit ribosomal RNA
Source: RNAcentral
GACGUAGGGCGCGAGCGUUGUCCGGAUUUACUGGGCGUAAAGGGCGCGUAGGCGGCGCAACAAGUCACUUGUGAAAUCUCCGGGCUUAACCCGGAGCGGCCAAGUGAUACUGUCGUGCUAGAGUGCGGAAGGGGCUACUGGAAUUCUCGGUGUAGCGGUGAAAUGCGUAGAUAUCGAGAGGAACACCUGCGGCGAAGGCGGGUAGCUGGGCCGACACUGACGCUGAAGCGCGAAAGCCAGGGGAGCGAACGGG